RNAcentral lists this transfer RNA (76 nucleotides) under Camelus bactrianus (Bactrian camel). It matches the Rfam family "tRNA". Rfam says of the family: Transfer RNA (tRNA) molecules are approximately 80 nucleotides in length. RNAcentral also lists the same sequence under 2 other names. Lineage: Eukaryota; Metazoa; Chordata; Mammalia; Artiodactyla; Camelidae. The record is from Rfam by way of RNAcentral.
GAGGGUAUAGCUCAGUGGUAGAGAGCAUGCUUACUUAGCAUGCCUGAGGUCCUGGGUUCAAUCCCUAGCACCUCCA